GCUAUUUAUUUGAAAAAUAAUAUGUUGAAAAUGAAAUCAGCAUAGAUAGAAAUCUUGCAGAGUUUUGACUGCAUGGAAUUCCUGAAUGAUUCAAAGUGUUGACUAGUGUUGAGAAUUCACUUUUUAUGUGAAUGGAAACAGUACAAUUUCACAUGUGGAUUACAUUAAAAAAUUUCCAAGAUGAAUAGCUCACGAUGUAGGUGACAUUUUUCUUUGAGUUAACGUAUUCACCAGUGUUAGAACCUAAUUUUCUUAAGGAAAGCAGCUUUGAAUGUAAAGAACAUCACCUGGGAAGAACGACUCUUGCUUUGUAACUCCUCUAUGAGCCUGUGCAUUUUUCAUCUACAUCUCCUCCAGAAACACUGACUACAGUCAAAGAGUCUUGACACUCUCCAUGAAUCAACAGUGUUCCAUGGGACCAAGAAUAAGCCACUCGGGUUGGAGAGAUGGCUCAGCCAUUAAAGGCUAGGCUCACAACCAAAAAUAUAAGAAUAGGCCACUCAAUUUUAUAGAGUUGAGAGAGCAUUGAGCAGAGUAUUUUGUUGUUGUUCCUAGAAUUUCUUUUUUAGUUUGCUAUAGCACGCUAUAAGUAAUAGAACACUUUCUAGCAAAUUUUCCAAGAGCCAGAAUUACUUAUCAAAUGACGCAAGAGUACAUCAAAUCCCACCGAGUGUUUGAGCUUGUGGACACCGUGCCCAAUACAGGUAACGUUGCUUCCAGACAAACUGACCAUCUAAGGGAUAAUUUCACACAUUUAGUGCAACUGGAGACAAUUUGGAAAGUGGUGAGAGCAGAGGGGUAAUUCUUUAAGCAGACAUGCUAUCCUAUAAACGUGAACUCCUGGAAACUAGCCACCAGCGUAUUUAAGGGCCGAGUGUUCUGCUUCAGUGUGUGUGAACGCAACUGUACAUCUGGGAAAUGAGUUGUAGAACGGAAAGUGUUCUCCAGCGCAAGCUACAGACAGAGCAGUUGCAGCAUUUCUUUGGGCUGAUGCCAACUUAAUUCUUCUUAGUGCAAUUAGAGUGAAGAGUCUGUUUCUCUGAGACAAUAAGAUAAGAAUCAUGUUGGUUUACUACACCUUGUUUGGUUUUAUGAAUCAGGACAAGAAAAAAAAGCCCAAUAACUUUUUGUAUUCAGUUACCGAGUAAAGUAUUCUUCGUCGUUAUUUGCCUGCAAAUGUGACCUGCUGUGUAGCUAAGCAAUCAAAAAUGUGUGGAUUUUACAUCACUGUUCAAAAGACACAUAGGCGUUGCAGUUAAAUCCCAGAAUCUUACUUAGACAUACAAAGUGACGCUGAUGGAGCCGAUGAUGAGGAGAUCAAACUUGAAGAUUAGUUCGUCUCAGAAAGCUUUAAAGGUAAACACUUACGUUGCCUCUUACCACAUAUGUUUGGCUACUGGGAUUUUCAAGCUCUCUCCCAUCUCCCUGGUAUACUUCCUUUCAGUACAACGCACAGGAAAAUGUUCCUGGUAAUCGAAUUCCUCUUUUUAAAUCACCAUACUUAUUUUAACUUCAUCAACACAUUUGGCUAUUUUGAAGGCAGUUAUGUUUAAGUUGUAACAUAGUGCAUAUUUACGAGGUAAUAUAGGAAAAGUGAGGCUAUAUGUCAAAACGUCUGCCCUUGGCAAAUUAAUUGGCAAAAUUACAGCAUCUCAAAGCCCUCAGUGACCAAUUGGUUUUUAAGUCUGUAGUGGGAUUUUUCAAAAACUGAGAACAUUUUCACAUUCAAGAGAGACUCUGGUCCUGUGCUAGCAAUGUUGCGGCUUGCCUGAAGCUUUGGUACUGAAAAAUGCAAAAUGAUUUCUAUCAUCUCACACUUCCUUCUUUCUUCCAGGUUUGGCAUCCUUUGGCAUUG
This 1855-nucleotide small RNA is filed under the name Rattus norvegicus (Norway rat). Its description in RNAcentral is "uncharacterized LOC108352964". The record is from RNAcentral. Lineage: Eukaryota; Metazoa; Chordata; Mammalia; Rodentia; Muridae.